GGUGUCACAGUUCCUUCAAGCAUCCUUGGCAUCCAUCCGUUGCUUUUUAUAAGAGUGUUGCAGAUGAGCCAGUGGUGUUUUCCUCCAGAUGUCUCUCCCCCUUGCAAAGGAUACAGGGAUGAGGAUUGGCAGGAUAAUGAUGGAGCACUCAACACCAUAUCCACUACUCACCCUCGUAUCCCAAUCGAACAUCCAAGUUGUAACGUUGCAAAUGAUUCUGAAUGUCUACCCUUGCAGCCAGGAAUCUGGUACUACAAGAUUGUGGAAGCAGAUCAUAUUUUUUUCAUUGUGAACCGAGAAAGAGCAGGAGUUCAGUUUGAUCUCAUAUAUGAUAGCAUCUUUGAACGUUGCAGAAAGCAUG
Molecule: unclassified non-coding RNA, 361 nt
Filed under: Hevea brasiliensis (rubber tree)
Lineage: Eukaryota; Viridiplantae; Streptophyta; Magnoliopsida; Malpighiales; Euphorbiaceae
Source: RNAcentral